AGCUGAUAUUCCUGCAUUGCUGCAAGUUCUAUUGCUUCUUCCACAGACAACGCACGCUAUCCGUUCGAAGAAAUUCCCCAUUUACAUUCCUCUUCAGCAAGCGCCAAGAUAACUGAUGAUGGUAGAGCCCACGCAACCCACCUUCGAAGUAAAUUGGGAGUCCUUAUCCAAAACCAUAAAGUGAUGAAGAUAAAAGAAUAUUA
Molecule: unclassified non-coding RNA, 203 nt
Filed under: Hevea brasiliensis (rubber tree)
Lineage: Eukaryota; Viridiplantae; Streptophyta; Magnoliopsida; Malpighiales; Euphorbiaceae
Source: RNAcentral